RNAcentral lists this ribosomal RNA (456 nucleotides) under uncultured bacterium. RNAcentral describes it as "bacterial SSU rRNA". It matches the Rfam family "Bacterial small subunit ribosomal RNA", at positions 28 to 507 of the family's 1533-position model. The record is from RNAcentral.
GACGAACGCUGGCGGCGUGCUUAACACAUGCAAGUUGAACGGGCAUACAUGGAAGCUUGCUGAAGUGUAUGUUAGUAGCGGACGGGUGAGUAAUGCAUGAGAAGCUGCCAUUGGGAGGGGGACAACAGUUGGAAACGGCUGCUAAUACCCCGUAUGCCGGAAGGUAAAAGGGAGCGAUCCGCCCGAUGAGGUGCUCAUGUCCUAUCAGCUGGUUGGUGGGGUAACGGCCUACCAAGGCGACGACGGGUAGCCGGCCUGAGAGGGUGAACGGCCACACUGGAACUGAGAUACGGUCCAGACUCCUACGGGAGGCAGCAGUGGGGAAUAUUGGGCAAUGGGGGAAACCCUGACCCAGCGACGCCGCGUGAGGGAAGACGGCCUUCGGGUUGUAAACCUCUUUUGUACGGGAAGAAGGAAGUGACGGUACUGUACGAAUAAGUCCCGGCUAACUACGUG